RNAcentral lists this ribosomal RNA (1179 nucleotides) under uncultured organism. RNAcentral describes it as "bacterial SSU rRNA". It matches the Rfam family "Bacterial small subunit ribosomal RNA", at positions 62 to 1231 of the family's 1533-position model. The record is from RNAcentral.
UCGAACGGGAUCAUUCCUUCGGGGAUGUGAGAGUGGCGAACGGGUGAGUAACACGUAGGUGAUCUACCGCUUGGCGGGGGAUAGCCCAUGGAAACAUGGGGUAAUACCGCAUACGACCGAUCUGCUGUGGCGGGUUGGGGAAAGGCGCUUAGGCGUCACCGAGCGAUGAGCCUGCGGCUGAUUAGCUAGUUGGUAGGGUAACGGCCUACCAAGGCAACGAUCAGUAGCCGGCCUGAGAGGGUGAUCGGCCACACUGGGACUGAGAUACGGCCCAGACAACUACGGUUGGCAGCAGCUAAGAAUCUUCCGCAAUGGACGAAAGUCUGACGGAGCGACGCCGCGUGGGCGAUGAAGGCCGUGAGGUUGUAAAGCCCUUUUCUAUCGGAGGAAUAAGCCUGGGAGGGAAUGCCCGGGUGAUGACGGUACGGUAGGAAUAAGCCCCGGCCAAUUACGUGCCAGCAGCCGCGGUAACACGUAAGGGGCGAGCGUUGUUCGGAAUUAUUGGGCGUAAAGGGCACGUAGGCGGCACGGUAAGCCUGGUGUGAAAGACCGCAGCUUAACUGCGGAGACGCGCUGGGAACUGCCGAGCUUGAGUGCUGGAGGGGGAGCUGGAAUUCCAGGUGUAGGGGUGAAAUCUGUAGAUAUCUGGAAGAACACCGGUGGUGAGGACGAGCUCCUGGCCAGAUACUGACGCUGAGGUGCGAAAGCGUGGGGAGCGAACAGGAUUAGAUACCCUGGUAGUCCACGCCGUAAACGAUGUGCACUAGGUGUAGGGUUCAUUAGCGACUCAGUGCCGUAGCCUACGCGUUAAGUGCACCGCCUGGGGAGUAUGCUCGCAAGAGUGAAACUCGAAGGAAUUGACGGGGGCCCGCACAAGCGUGGGAAGCAUGUGCUUUAAUUCGAUGAUACGCGGAGGAACCUUACCAGGGUUUGACAUCAUCCUGACAGCGGCAGAGAUGCCGGUUUCCUUCGGGACAGGAUGACAGCUGCUGCAUGGCUGUCGUCAGCUCGUGCCGUGAGGUGUUGGAUUAAGUCCCGCAACGAGCGCAACUCCUGCCAACUGUUGCCAGCAUUUCGGAUGGGGACUCAGUUGGAACUGCCGGUGACAAACCGGAGUAAGUUGGGUACGAGCUCAAGUCAUCAUGGCCCUUAUGUCCUGGGCUACACACGUGCUACAAU